UGGAAAAUGUUACUUGGGAGAGGUGGCAUCCACCUGCCCCACUGGCUCUGACUGGCAGAGCCAGGAAGAGCAUCCCAGGUGGAGGGAACAGCGGGGGAGUCAGCGGCCCUAAGGAACGUCACCUGGCCAAGUGGUGGGAUGAUGGUGGUGAUAUCUGUCUGGGCCUGGGAGCCAGCAAGAGGCACACGCUUGGACCAGAGCUGGCCUCCUUCUGCUGUUCUGACUGGGCGACGAUUCACUUGUGCUGACGGCCACUCCUCUUGCUCACAGGAUGCCAUGCGCUAUGGACAUGACAGAUGAAGAAACCAAAGCCUGGGAGGUUCAGUAACUUUGCCAAAGUGACACAGGUCACCACCACGGGUGGUGCCAGGAAUGAUGUGCUGUCAGCAGCGACUCCUCCAGCCGUUGCUCAGGAGCUCCCGGCGGCUUGGGGAAUCAGUGUGCUGGCACCAGAAGGGUGAGGCCACCAGAGAAAUGGGAGCCUGAGCAGAGUUUCAAUGUGACACCAAGAAAUCAC
Suricata suricatta (meerkat) is the source of this 517-nucleotide long non-coding RNA. RefSeq lists it as uncharacterized. Lineage: Eukaryota; Metazoa; Chordata; Mammalia; Carnivora; Herpestidae. The transcript is spliced from 4 exons. The record is from RefSeq and is a predicted model, not a curated record.